CAGCCUUCGGGAGGCAGCAGUGGGGAAUCUUGCACAAUGGGCGAAAGCCUGAUGCAGCCAUGCCGCGUGAGUGAAGAAGGCCUUAGGGUUGUAAAGGCUCUUUCGCUAGGGAUGAUAAUGACAGUACCUAGAAAAGAAGUUCCGGCUAACUCCGUGCCAGCAGCCGCGGUAAUACGGAGGGAACGAGCGUUGUUCGGAAUUACUGGGCGUAAAGCGCGCGUAGGCGGACCAAGCACUCAGAGGUGAAAUCCCGGGGCUUAACAUCGGAACUGCCUUUGAUACUGUUGGGCUAGAGUUCGAGAGAGGUAAGUGGAAUUCCCAGUGUAGAGGUGAAAUUCGUAGAUAUUGGGAAGAACACCAGUGGCGAAGGCGGCUUACUGGCUCGAUACUGACGCUGAGGUGCGAAAGCGUGGGGAGCAAACAGGAUUAGAUACC
This 435-nucleotide ribosomal RNA is filed under the name uncultured marine bacterium. RNAcentral's name for it is "bacterial SSU rRNA". It matches the Rfam family "Bacterial small subunit ribosomal RNA", at positions 332 to 786 of the family's 1533-position model. The record is from RNAcentral.